RNAcentral lists this ribosomal RNA (497 nucleotides) under uncultured bacterium. RNAcentral's name for it is "partial 16S ribosomal RNA". It matches the Rfam family "Bacterial small subunit ribosomal RNA", at positions 28 to 507 of the family's 1533-position model. The record is from RNAcentral.
GAUGAACGCUGGCGGCGUGCCUAAUACAUGCAAGUCGAGCGAACAGACGAGGAGCUUGCUCCUCUGACGUUAGCGGCGGACGGGUGAGUAACACGUGGAUAACCUACCUAUAAGACUGGGAUAACUUCGGGAAACCGGAGCUAAUACCGGAUAAUAUAUUGAACCGCAUGGUUCAAUAGUGAAAGACGGUUUUGCUGUCACUUAUAGAUGGAUCCGCGCCGCAUUAGCUAGUUGGUAAGGUAACGGCUUACCAAGGCGACGAUGCGUAGCCGACCUGAGAGGGGGAUUGGCCAAACUGGAACCGAGACACGGUUCAGACUCCUACGGGAGGCAGCAGUAGGGAAUCUUCCGCAAUGGGCGAAAGCCUGACGGAGCAACGCCGCGUGAGUGAUGAAGGUCUUCGGAUCGUAAAACUCUGUUAUUAGGGAAGAACAAAUGUGUAAGUAACUAUGCACGUCUUGACGGUACCUAAUCAGAAAGCCACGGCUAACUACGUG